This 1588-nucleotide long non-coding RNA is filed under the name Canis lupus familiaris (dog). RNAcentral's name for it is "lncRNA (ENSCAFG00845013466.1)". Lineage: Eukaryota; Metazoa; Chordata; Mammalia; Carnivora; Canidae. The record is from RNAcentral.
UGGGCUUACACUCAGGACCCUGAGAGCAAGACCUGAACUGAGAUCAAGAGUUGGGACGCUCAACUAGCUGAGCACCCAGGCACCUCCCUAUUGUUGCAACUUUUAUGUAAGUUUGGGAUUAUUUCAAAAUAAAUAAAAUGUUAAAAAAUAAAUUUGAAUAUUCUGUUCCUUCUAUUUCUACAUAGAAUAUUUGACUAGAAAUGGAAAACAAAGCACUCUUCCAUGGAAGGGAGAAGAAGGCACUUUAGCUUAAUGGGUAGUUCAAGUUACAUUUUACCAUCAAUAAGUAAAUUCAUCAUUUGUUUAUUAUCAUUAUUAUUAUUAAGUAGGCUCCAUAUCCAAGGUGAGGCUUGAACUCAAAAUCAAGCAUGGCAUGUUCUACCGAGCCAGUCAAGUACCCGUCAUCAUUGUUUAAAAAUAUUCCCUUGCUAAAACAUUUCAGCCCCAACUUGAAGCUCUUUAGAGGAAUCAUGACAAGAUUUCAAAACUAAGUUCCCAGGAGCUUGUUUUGGGUGGAUGUAGAGAGCUGGUAAGAUAAUUUAUUGUGUGGUGACUCUGACUUUUCAUAGCCCCUCAUAAUGAGACCUCACCCAUCUAUGCUAAUUUUACCAUCCUAAGGAACUGAUUAUUCAGUCAUUCAAAAAAUAUUUUGACUACCUUAUGAGUGUUUGUCAUUGGUUUACUAAACACUGAGGAUACAUUAGUACAUGAGAUCAUAUUUAUCUACAUGAAACUUAAUUAUACUGGAGGACAAAGUUAUGAAACAAACACAAAAGGAAGAUAAUUGCAGUUUGUGGCAAGUGCUGUUAGUAAUAAUGUAAUAAAGACAAACUUAACUCAUUGAAUGUCCAGAAUAUCCCAGGCUUUAUGCUAGAAGAGCUGCAAGAGUAAAUAAGAGAUCAGUCCUCUUCUAACAGACUUAUUGUGUGUGAGUGUGUGUGUACAUAUAUAUAUAUAUAUUUGUGCAUGCUGUCUCUCAAAAAAUAAAAAAUAAAAAAAAAGUUCUCAAUUCUAGAAUAAAUUUUAAACAUGCCAGAACUUGAGGAAGGUGUGUGUAGAAGUUCUUCUUAUAUACUUUACUGGAAGAGUUCUGUCCAGCCUUGACGUGAUUGGGGAGGAUUCAGCUAAAGUACUAGUGGAGAGUAUUAAGUAUAUUUAAAGUAUAUUUAAUAGUAUAAAACAGGCACUAGGCACUAGAGUGAGAAAGGAAUGUGUAAAUGUUAUAUAUGCUCUAAUCAAAUAAAAGUAAGGGAACUAACAAAUAUGAAGAUUAGAGGAAGGAGGAAAAAAUAAGUUCAUUGGUUGUCACAAGGCAAUUAGAUGGGAAUCAACUUUUUUUUUUAUUAAGAUUUCAUUUAUUCAUUUGAGAGAAAGAGCACAAGCAAGUAGAGAGGCAGAGGGAGCAGGAGAAGCAGAAUUCCCUGCUGAGGAGAGAGCCUGACACGAGGCUCAAUCCCAGGACCCCAAGAUCACUACCUGAGCCUAAGGCAGAUGCCUAACUGACCGAGCCACCCAGGUGCCUCGGGGAAUCAACAUUUAAAGGUGAUAAACUAGAAGCCUAGACAAGCAAAAAAAGGGGCUCUAAGAG